This 641-nucleotide ribosomal RNA is filed under the name uncultured eukaryote. RNAcentral's name for it is "eukaryotic LSU rRNA". The stretch from base 222 to 376 matches the Rfam family "5.8S ribosomal RNA". The record is from RNAcentral.
UCCGUAGGUGAACCUGCGGAAGGAUCAUUCGCACAUAUUUGGAACAAUUCAUUUUGAUUUUUAUGUGGAAUCUAUUCGGGGAUAACCGUUGGAGCUCUUGUAGAUACCAAUGGGUGUUGGGUUGGGCGAAAUGAAAAACAUAUUUGCUCAUUCCCACUGCCGCAUUCAAGCAAAACAAGUUGUUGUUUAAUUGUUAAUUGCAGUUGUCAAGAAGAGCUUACGAUUUUCAACGAUGGAUGUCUCGGUUCGAGCAAUGAUGAAGGGCGCAGCGAAGUGCGAUAAGCAUUGUGAAUUGCAGAACUCCGUGAGCCGACAGGGACUUGAACACAUAUUGUGCUUUUGGGAUAUCCCUAAAAGCAUGCUUGCUUCAGUGUCUAUUAUGCAUUAUUUCAGUAGUUACUUUGUUGUGAACGACAAGCUACUGCAAGUUGCUAUGCCUCAACAUUAUUAGUUCCCAUGCGUAUGCUUUGAGGUUUGUGUGUUGACAAGGCUUUUGUAUACUGGUCAGUCUUCUAAUGCAUGUAUUGCUUGAAACUUGCUGGACUCCUUGUGUUGUGGGUCUUGCUAUCACGAUCUUGUUGAAAAAGCAUUUAAGACAUGAAGUUAGGUUUGCAAACCCGCUGAAUUUAAGCACAUCAAUA